Long non-coding RNA from Pongo pygmaeus (Bornean orangutan), 14777 nucleotides. RefSeq lists it as uncharacterized. The record is from RefSeq and is a predicted model, not a curated record. NCBI's taxonomy places the organism in Eukaryota, Metazoa, Chordata, Mammalia, Primates, Hominidae. The transcript has 7 exons.
GCUUUCACUUCUCUAGGGAGUUCUGAGCUUCAAGAGCCCAGCUACUCGCCGAACCCGGGCCGCCUGCGUGAGUAACUUGGGGCGGCCAGGAGCACGGGAAGGGCGCCAGACAGAGAGCCUUUGGCUGCUUCUGAGACCGGUUGUGGGCUGCCACCGCUGAGCGGCGCGGAGGCUGCAGCGUUCCGUCUCCGGACAGAAAGCAGGCGUUGGGGGCUGCUACUCGCAGCCUGCCAGGGGCAGCAGCAGCCCCAGGUUCAAGUGGCUAUGUGCCAGGAUACUCAGGUGCGGCUGGCGGCUGCCCGUGGGAGAGCCAGUGCUCUCCGCAGGUCCAAAGUGCAAGGCCGGGCUAUUCCCGGACUUGCCUAGGCGCAGGGGCCCCCAGCGCGUCCCGGAUUGCCCCGGCGCGUCGGGCGCGCGAACUUGUGCGCAAGGGAGAAGAGCGCUUACCAUGGAACAUGGUCUGCGGGAGGCGGGCGUAGUCAUGAUGACCGCAACUGGAGCAGGAGCAAGCUCUCACCGCCCAUAGUCACUCCCAGGACCCUGGUCUUCCGCAGAGUUGCCGAGUCUGUGUUGGGCAGGGUGAUCUCUGCAGCUGGUUCCUCUUACCCACGCCGCGACUGCAGUUUCAUCCAUCCCAGCGGGGGCGGCACACACCACGGCGUGGCUCUGCGCUUUGCCUUUUCCAUAACUUCCGUAGGAUCCGCCAGCAGUGUACUUUCAGUUUCUACUUUGCGCUUGGUCUGCAGGUUCAAUCUUUAUGAUCAUCAGCAUGGAAUCUUCAUUAUCCCCUCUCUCCAGGGCACCUGCUUCCCGCGCACCUGGUUGAGGACCAGAGGAGGGCGCGAAUUUCCAAAUCACCGCAGGAAAAACCAGCUGGCCUGAAUCAAAGCGAUUCUGGGUAAAAGACUUUCCAGAUGACCUCUCAACGCCUUGGCAACGCUUGGCGACUGGGAGCUAGAACCAUGAGUUGUUAAUGUGUGCACGGAAGCCACAAGUGUGCAGGACGCAAGCUGGGUUAUUGGAAGCGGACGACACCAAGGAGGCGUUGCCGCGGAUGUGGUGGACGAUGCCAAGUCGUCUUGUAAAAAAAAGGAAGUGAAGAAUGAUUAAGAGGGUCACGCCCUCUACCACUCCAACCUCUCUAAUCAGUCUCUUUCUGCUCCGUCUACUGUACAUGCACCUGCUCAGGUGAGACCUCAAGGAAAAAUAAUCCUAUGGGUCCACAUAAUCUGGUUGCUGAUGCCCACUUUGCUUGAAUGGACAUCCAGAAGUGGCUGGGAAUGUGUACUUUGUGGAUGCAUCCAUUUAUCACUGAUUGACACAUACUGAGACAACCACAGUUGCUAACAGUAUGAGUUCUACAGUUAUACAGAACUAAGUCCAUUAGCUGUGUGACCCAUGGCCAAAUAUUUUCCUUCUCUGUGCCUGCAUUUCUUCAUCUGUAAACUGGAAUAAUGAUAGCAACUACUUCAGAGGACUAUGCUAGAGUGCAAUGGUGCAAUCUUGGCUCACUGCAACCUCCACUUCCCAGGUUCAAGUGAUUCUCCUGCCUCAGUCUCCUGAGUAGCUGAUAUUACAGGUGCCUGCCACUACACCCAGUGUAAAGAAGGAUGUCUUUGCUCCCCCUUCUGCCAUGAUUGCGAGUUUCCUGAGGCCUCCCCAGUCAUGCUGAACUGUCCAAUCAGCAUAAUGUCAUCAAUGCAAUGGAACGGACUGAUUUUCUGCAGAAAGGGAAAUCAAUCAAGGUCUCAGUGGACUAAAGGAUGAUAUAAGGCUGAAGAAUGGACACAUCCUGUGAAUAGCUAUAUACCAAAUACCUGAGGAUGUGUUAAUUUGCCCAAGCGAUGAAACCACCUCUGGAAUAGCAGCUGUAAUUGGAACCACCACCUGAUUAAGUUGACAAUAAUCCACUGUCAUUCUCCAAGAUCCAUCUGUUUUGUGCACAGGCCAAAUAGAUGAAUUGAAUGCGGAUGUGGUGGGAAGUCACUAUGCUAACAUGUUUUACGUCCUCCAGGAUUGCAGCAUUACUUUUAGUUUACUAUUUUCCUAGGUAGAGGCAGUUAUAGUGGCUUCCAGUUAUUUUUCUUUCCAUAAUAUCCCUUAUUUCACAAGUCAGGAAACCAAUGUAGAGAUUUUGUCACAUUCUGAAUGUGUCUAUUCCGAUAAUGCUUGUGGAAAUGGAGAAAUAAUCACAGGACUUGUUCAGGGACAUGCUGAACCCACUGAGACAAAUAUGAACUAAAAUUCCAUCAAUCAAUUAAUCACCUAACCUUCAUAAGCCUCUAUUAUGCCUCCACAGUGACAUUUUGGGUGUCCAGAAAUUAGUGUCAUUUUAGUCAGUGUUCAGUAAUCUUCCAAAAGUCUAAUUAUUUCUAUUUUCCAAAGCAAAAGCACACUGGUAAAUAACUAGAUCUCUUUAGGAAAGACCAGAAGAAAGACUAACAGUAUACACACAUUUUUUUGGCAGUGCAGUGGAGUUCUUCCUCAAAGGGACUUAGCCUCCCUUUCAUUUAAGGGGUUCUGGGAUGGUAAAUUGUCUCAGCCUGGAAAUUGAUUGAAGUGUUAUGUCUCUCUAUUUUGGUGAUUUGAGUUAGACUUCUGCUCACUAGACCUGGAACUUUUCCACUUAUACACAUCAUUCAUUAGACUGCCCAUCUAUUUCUUUUCUAGUGACAUCAUUAUCAACUAGCUAAUGCCGUAGGUCUUUGGGAGUUACAGUAUUCUGGUUACUGCUUUGACUCUGCAGUUUAUUGCAGUGACUAUCUGGUUUUUGAUGAUCCCUGUCAAAUAGCAGCAGUUUCCACUGUAAUAUCUGACAUUGCAGAAAAGAGUAAAGAGAGAGCUCUCAAGGAUGCUAGGAUUCCCCCUAUAAAUUUAUUUCUCUUAAUUAUGGUAAAAGGUAUGUCUUCUGGACUCUCCAAUUGGAUGACCAGUUCUUACAUGAUAAAUCUAUUCAAACAUUUCAACCUCCCUAAGACUUUAGAUGCCUUCCUCCACAGUAUACCAAGGCAAUCCUGACAUUUCAACUUCAUUUAUUGUAGGCCACCUUCAGUUUCAUGUUUCAACCUACGGACAAAACAAACUGUUAGAGCCCUUCCUAGACCACUAACCUUAGUGAACCAUAGUAAUACAUCAGACUAAUCCAACUUUAUAUUCCUUCCACCAUAAUGCCACAGUCUUAAGACCCAUUGCCACACCUAUUUCCCCAGAUUUAUGUGUGUAUACAUUGGAAAAAUCAUUCUGUUCUUCUUGCAGGUCAUUCAUUGUACCUUACCGUUUGGGCUCUGCUGAGACUUAAGUCUAAUUGUAGGACUAGAUGCAGAGAAGGGUGGUGGAGGUAGGUCCUAAGAAGAAUCAGCAGUACCUUGCAAGGCAACUACAGAUUCUUCAGGAAGAACAGAUAACCUCCUUAGAUGGGGUGGAUGGCUGCUUCUCCUAGCAAGAAAACUGUCCAAAUUCAAGGGUUCAAUGUCCCCAGCUUCACUGGGAUCUGUCAAUAUGCCCUCAUUCCAAUUUUCAGGAUCCCAUUCCUUCCCAAUCAUUUUAACAGAAAACACUUUGUGAGGUUGGAAAUUCAAUUUGUGUUGUAAUUAAGCCAUUCACAGGGAGAUUCAGGGUUUAAUUUUUAGAAAUCUCAGACCUGUAGGCAGAAAAGAUAAGGGUGACUUUUAGGGCAUAUAAAACAUACUAUUACAUUAUUUAGGUGGAACUUGAGCUGGAAUUUGAAGUCCUGCCCUUCUUCUUUUAUUUCUGGAACAAUUAAGAGUAACUGACCAGCUCCACGAUACUCUUAGGUUUGAUAAAAAUAUUCUAAGGUAGCAAAUACAUGGUGACCCACAACUUCAACUUCUACAGGUAUUUGAUCACAAGUGUCCAAUGGUUAUAUUUUCCAUAUCUCUUUUGUCAUAUUAUGCCAUGGAUUUCUAGUGCUCUCUUUAUCACCAGAAAUAGUCAUUAGUGCUUUUAAAUAUAAUCACAUGAGGCAACUAAAUUCUCAAACCCCAGAAACAAUUCAGAAAACUCAUCCAUAUGAUUAUGUUCCUUUAGAACAAUGUCAAGAAGCAACGUCUGUAUCCGUCAUCAUUUAUCCAGGGAAACAGACCAGUAGGAGAUAUAUUGUAAGAUUUUUUUUCAAGAAAUUGGUUUAUAUGACUGUGGGGACUGAUAAGGCUAGUCUAAAAUCCAUACGGCAGGCUGGAACUCUUGGUUAUGGGCUGAAGCUUCUGGCCACAAGUUGAAUUUCUUCUGCCUCAGAGAAGCUUCAGCUUUGCUUUUAAGGCUUUCCAACUAGUGAAAUGAGGCUCUGCUAAAUUAUCUAGGAUAAUGUCUCUUAAAGUCAACUGAGUAUUGACUUUACUUAACUCUAUAAAUUACCGUCACAGUAACACCUAAAUUAGUAUUUAUUAACUUGUGAUUGUAACUUACCCAUGUCAACAAUAAGUCCAUCACAAUGUCACAUAAAAAACUCCUACUUUAUCAGAAAAUGGGCUAUAAGUGGACCAUGAGUUUGCAGCUUCUCCUCUGUUAUAUAAAUUUUCCUUUUUUAGUACUUAAAAAAAUCCUCCAAAUCUCCAUAUAUCAGUGUGUUUAAUUUAAGAGACUGCAACAUGAUCAAGUUAAAUAUUAAUAGUAAAAUUACUAUACCAACAUUUCAAUGAUAACAGUUAGAUAUGAAAUUGUUAAAUAUAAUUUGAAAGGAUUUUAUAUAUUAUUUGGCCAUUUAAAUUUAUUAUUAUAUUUUACAAAGUCAUUGAAAAAUAUUAUAAUUGAAUAUAAUGUGAAGUAAAGAAGGGUGCAAAAUAGAUAGAAUAUUAUCAUAUUUGUGUGUAAGAUAGAUGCCUGAAGAAAGAACAUUUAGGACAUUAUAUCAAUAUCUUCUGUGUGUGAAGAGAGAGUUGCAAAUCACCUUAGGACUAAUUUUUGUAAUUUUUAUUUAAUCACUUAAGUGAUUUUCUUUGUUCAAGCCACUAUGAAAUUCAUUACUCCAGACCAGGUUGAAACAGCAUCUUCUGUGGCCUGAAAAGAUGGCAAUACCACUUGGUAUAAGGAGCUGUCCCUGUGCGAAGAAGUUAGCAAUUUACACAGGGACUAGGAUUUAUCUUGGGAGGAAAAGAACACCAAACUUGAUCUUUCCUCUUAUACAAAUAUUUCUGUUGAAUUGAAGUGGGCUGGAUCAGGUCCUUUGGUAAGAAAUGAUAUCAAUGACUCCAAAGAGGCACUCGCCUUCAGAGAAGAGGUCACUGGUGCGGGUGACUGGAGCUGAACACAAGAACAGAAGUGACCCUGGCAGUGGCUGGUCCCACAACAGCCUGUAACAGGGAACAUAAUCAACCACAAAUUUUGUGGGUAGUUUAGGUGUUGAAAAACAAUAGUGAUUAUUAAUAUUGUAUAUACAUUACCUUUUACUAAAUGUCCUACAUAGUUUACACAAGAAAAAGAGGAACUAAAGGCUGUGAAAUUCCAACUCAGAAUAUAAAUCAAAAAUGAGAAAGCCUUGGUGGUAACUUUGAACAAAUCCCUUAUCUCCUAAAGUGGCAGAGCAGAUAAACUGAGGACCAAUAUCAAGACUGGACUGUCAAAAUUGCAGUUGCAGUGCAAACGAGAUACUCAAUUUAGUUAUGUCUCAAAGUAAGAAGAAACCACUGCUGGGGAAAUAAUAUAAUCCCAAGAAAUAGGACGGAAAUAUUGUGGUGAAUACAAUAAGGUUGAACACUUUGAAUCUCCAAAUCUUUCUAAAUUUCCCUUGUCUUCCAUUUCACAACUCUACAUCUAUACUCAGCACAGGAAAAAUAUCUAAUCUGUUCGUGUCAAGUUGAUUUAUUGGUUAGGGAUUUCUGUGUUAAUCUCAGAUGGAAAAUGUUUAAUUACAAGGUCCUUCCUGUAUCUAAGAGUUACUACAUGACAGAACGAGUAGACCAACCUCUCUACCUCCAACAGCCUCUUUAUCACUGAGAUUUUCUGUGUGCCCAUGGCAAGCAGAAUUCCAAGACAAUCCUUGAGAUUUCUACCCCAUUGUGUACAAUGCACUGCUUUUGAGUAUGGGUGAAGCCUGUAAAUAUGAUGAAUUAUCAACCUCAUCAUUAUAUUUUCUUAUAUGCAAUAGAGAUUUUAUCAGAUAUAAUUAAAGUUCCACAUUCAGUUAAGUUAAUCAGAUUGGAAAUUAUCUAAUGAGAGUUUGUCCUACUCAGGUGAGGUAUCAAAUGGGGGUCUAGAGUUUUAAAAUGCAAAGAAUCAGAGAGACACUCUCCCUAUGGCCUCAAACAAGAAAGCAAAUAGCCAUAUUUUGAAUUUCCGUGAAGGUGAAUCAUCAUUAGGGUCUGAGUGUCUCAGUCCUAAAACUACAAGGAACUAAAUUCUGUCAACAACUUAAAUAAGUUUGAAAAAAGACUUCACAUUCCAAAUGAGACUCCAGUCUGGCUGACACCUUGAUUUCAGCCUUGUAAGACUUUGACCAGAGAACCCAGUUGAAACGUGGCUGGACUUCUGAACUACUGAACUCUGAGCUAAUAAAUGGAUGUAGCUUGUUUUGAACCAUGAAGUCUGGUGGCUUAUUAUGUAGCAGUGCAAAACUAACUCAGUGCCUCUGACAAUCUGUCCUUACUUUGUAGAAUAUGAUACGGGGCCACCAUUUGCCAAUCUGUUGUAAGUUGAUAUAGUUACUUUUCUUCAUUUUAACUGAAUAGGGCUGAUCUCCCUUCCUCUCUCUCUCUCUGUCUCUCUCUCUCUCUCUCCCCCACACACACACCUUACACAAUUUUACUUAUAAAUAUUAGAAUUUUGUUAUAUAUCAAAUAUAAUCUCCUUCACUUUAUAUAAGAAAAAAUGGGUAUCAGAAUGAUUACUGAGUUUAUUCCAAAUUACACAACUAGCCAGGGACCAAGGUAAAAUUUAAGUCAGUCUUAGUUACAAAGUUGGUUCUCUUUUAACUGAGAGAAACAAAAAUAUUCCAAAAAUAUUUCUAAACUUUAUCAAAAACUAAGGAAUUAAUGGAAUGUGUUUGUCAUAGAUAGCGUGCUGCCCAGAUCCCCUGUAGAAAUAAAGGGCUUGUUUUUUAAACUUCUAUAAGUACUUCCCUAAGGCAGGUCUCCGCUAUUAGCCCUCUACAGAAAAUGUCUUUGUUGGAGACACACACCCCUUGCCCAAUAUUUUGCCCCCUUCCUUGGGCAGCCCAUGCCCAAUGACUCAUCAAGGAAAGAUAUGAAGUCUGCCUUUCUCCCACAACUUGAGACAAUUCUAAAGGGUCGUGUCAAUUUUAGAACUUCCCUAAGAUCAACUGUAUCCUUCAUCAAGCCUACAAUUCUCUCUUUGUCCAAUUUUGCUUCCUCUUUUUCCAUGUGUUUAUACCCAUAAUACUCCCUGAUAAACAUCCUGUAUGCUAAUCUCCAUUUCAGAGUCAGCUUCCUAGGGAAACCAACCUGUGACAGGGAAGAGAUAACCACCUCUCUGUAAAACCAAUAAUGUGAGAUUAAAUGAAAUAAUACAAUUAAAUCAAAUUCACUUACAAAAAAUAUAAUGUAUAAAAGUAGGUGUUAAUUUAUGUAUAAUAUUAUAUUAUUAUAAAUUAUAAUUCAAAGAAAUAAAUAUGAAAUUAACAUUUGUAUAAGGCAUAAAUUAUGGGAUGGAGUCACUGCUUGUGCUAGUGACUUUCAGAUAAAGCUCCAUCAUCUUAUCAUGGCAAAGUUAUCUUAGGAGAGAAGACCUAAAUAUAAAAUCAGAGAUGAAAAUAGAGAUAUUACAACUGUUACCACAAAUAUUCAAAGGAUCAUUAGAGACUGUUAUGAGAAAUUGUAUGUCAAUAAAUUGGAAAACCUAGAAUAAAUUAAUAAGUUCCUAGUCCUAUACACCCUACCAAGAUUGAAAUUCAAAACCUGAAUAGACUAAUAACAAGUAAAUAGAAGUAGGAAUAAAAUGUCUUCCAUCAAAGAAAAACCCAAGACCUGAUGGCUUCACUGCUGAAUUCUACCAAACUUUUAAAUAUCUAAUACCAUUUCUAUUACAGCCAUUCCAAAAAAAUCAAUGAAAAGGGAAUUCUUCCAAACUAAUUCUGAGACCAGUAUUAUCCUGUUACUGAAACCAGACAGAUACACAAGAAAAAGGAAAACUAUAGGUCAAUAUCUCAGAUGAACAUAGCUAUCAAAAUCCCCAACAAAAUAUUAGGAAGCUGAAGCCAGCAACACAUUAAAAAGGUCAUUCAUUAUGAUAAAAUGGGAUUUAUCAAAAUGACACAAGGAUGGAUCAACAUAUAGAAAUCAAAAACGUGAUGCAUCACAUCAACAGAAUGAAAGACCAAAACCGUAUGAUCAUUUUAAUCAAUGUCAAUUAAGCAUUUGACAAAAUUUCACAUCACUUUAUAAUAAAAACUCUAAAAAAAUGGGUAUAAAAGGAACAUACCUCAACAUGAUAAAAAAACACAUUCACCAAACCCACAGUUAGUAUCAUACUGAACAGGGAAAAACUGAAAACUUUUUCUCUAAGAUCUUGAACAUGACAAUGGUGGUCCAUUUUCACCACUGUUAUUCAGCAUACAACUGGAAGUUUUAGCAGGAGCAGUUGAACAAGAGAAAGAAGUAAAGAUCAUUGGGUAGGAAAAGGACAAAUUAUCCUUAUUUUCAGAUGAUAUGAUCUUAUAUUUAGAAAAACCUAAAGAAUCCAACGAAAGGUGACUAGAACUGAUAAAUUCCCUAAAGUUGCAGAAUAUAAAAUCAACGUUAAAGAAAACUAGCAUUUCUAUAUGCCAGCAGUGAAACCAAGAAAUUAAUCUUAUUUACAAUAGUUACAAAUAAAAUAAAAUGCCUAGAAAUAAACUUGACUAGAGAAGUGAAAGAUCACUACAAAGAAAGCUAUAAAACAUUAAUUAAAGAAAUUGCCUAGGUUUUCUUCUAGGGUUUUUAUGGUUUUAGGUCUUACGUUUAAGUCUUUAAUCCAUCUUGAGUUAAUUUUUGUAUAAGGGGUAAGGAAGGGGUCUAGUUUCAGUUUUCUGCAUAUGGCUAGCCAGUUUUCCCAACACUAUUUAUUAAACAGGGAAUCCUUUCCCCAUUGCUUUUGUCAGGUUUAUCAAAGCUCAGAUGGUUGUAGACGUGUGGCAUUUUUCUGAGGCUUUUGUUCUGUUCCAUUGGUCUAUAUAUCUGUUUUGGUAUCAGUAACCAGUUUUGGUUACUGUAGCCUUGUAGUAAAGUUUGAAGUCAGGUAGUGUGAUGCCUCCAGCUUUGUUCUUUUUGCAUAGGAUUGUCUUGGCUAUAUGGGCUCUUUUUUGGUUCCAUAUGAAAUUUAAAGUAGUUUUUUCUAAUUCUGUGAUGAAAGUCAAUGGUAGCUUGAUGGGGAUAGCACUGAAUCUAUAAAUUACUUUGUGCAGUAUGGCCAUUUUCACGAUAUUGAUUUUUCCCAUCUAUAAGCAUGGAAUGUUUUUCCAUUUGUUUGUGUCCUCUCUUAUGUCCUUGAGCAGUGAUUUGUAGUUCUCCUUGAAGAAGUCCUUCACAUCCCUUGUAAGUUGUAUUCCUAGGAAUUUUAUUCUCUUUGUAGGAAUUGUGAAUGGCAGUUCGCUCAUCAUCUGGCUCUCUGUUUGCCUAUUGUUGGUGUAUAGGAAGGCUUGUGAUUUUUGCACAUUGAUUUUGUAUCCUGAGACUUUGCUGAAGUUGGUUAUCAGCUUAAGGAGAUUUUGGGCUGAGAUGAUGGGGUUUUCUAAACACACAAUCAUGUCAUCUGCAAACAGAGACAAUUUGACUUCCUCUCUUCCUGUUUGAAUACCCUUUAUUUCUUUCUCUUGCCUGAUUGCCCUGGCCAGAACUUAAGCAAUAUCAUUCACGACAUAGGCAUGGGCAAAGACUUCAUGACUAAAACACCAAAAGCAACGGCAAUAAAAGCCAAAAUUGACAAAUGGGAUCUAAUUAAACUAAAGGGAUUCUGCACAGCAAAAGAAACUAUCAUCAGAGUGAACAGCCAACCUACAGAAUGGGAGAAAUUUUUGCAAUCUAUACAUAUGACAAAGGGCUAAUCAUCAGAAUGUACAAGGAACUUAAACAAAUUUACAAGAAAAAACAAACAACCUCAUCAAAAAGAGGAUGAAGGAUAUGAACAGACACUUCUCAAAAGAAGAAAUUUAUACAGCCAACAAACAUGAAAAAAAGCUCAUCAUCACUGGUCAUUAGAGAAAUGCAAAUCAAACCAACAAGGAGAUACAAUCUCAUGCCAGAUAGAAUGGCAAUCAUUAAAAAGUCAGGAAACAACAGAUGCUGGAGAGGAUGUGGAGAAAUAGGAAUGCUUUUACAUCAUUAGUGGGAGCGUACAUUAGUUCAACCAUUGUGGAAGACAGUGUGGUGAUUCCUCAAGGACCUAGAACGAGAAAUACCAUUUGGCCCAGCAAUCCCACUACUGGGUAUAUACCCAAAGGCUUAUAAAUCAUUCUACUAUAAAGACCCAUGCACAUGUAUGUUUAUUGCAGCACUAUUCACAAUAGCAAAGACUUGGAACCAACGCACAUGCCCAUCAAUGUUAAACUGGAUAAAGAAAAUGUGGCACAUAUACACCAUAUAAUACAAUGGAGCCAUAAAAAAAGGAUGAGUUCAUGUCCUUUGCAAGGACAUGGAUGAUCUGGAAACCAUCAUUCUCAGCACACUAACACAGGAACAGAAAACCAAACACUGCAUCUUCUCACUCAUAAGUGGGAGUUAAACAAUGGGAACACAUGAACCCAGGGAGAGGAACAUCAUUCACCAGAGCCUGUCAGAGGGUAGGGGGCUAGGGGAGGGAUAGCAUUAGGAGAAAUGCCUAAUGUAGAUGACAGGUUGAUGGGUGCAGCCAACCACCAUGGCACGUGUAUACCUAUGUAACAAACCUGCACGUUCUGCACAUGUAUCCCAAAACUUAAAGUAUAAUAAUAAUAAUAAAAGAAAUUGAAGAGGACACAAAAACUAGAAAGAUAUUCCAUAUUCAUGAAUUUGAAGAAUCAGCAUUACUAAAAUAUCCAUAAUACCCAAAGCAAUCUAUAGAUUCAAAUGAAAUUCCUAUCAAAAUACCAAUUAUAUUUUUCACAGAUAUAAAAAAGAAUUCUAAAAUUUGUACAGAAACACAAAAUACUUGGAAUAGCCAAAGCUAUCCCAAGCAAAAUGAACAAAUCUGGAGGUAUCACAUUGCCUGACUUCAAAUUAUAUUACAAAGCUAUAGUAACCAAAACAGCUUGGCACUGGCAUAAAAAACAGACACAUAGACCACCCAUGGAAUAGAAUAGAGAACCCAGAAAUAUAUUCACACAUUUACAAACAAUUAAAUUUACUAAUAACAUAUAUUUGGAAAUGUCAGUCUCUUCAAUCCAGGAAAAUUGGAUAUUCAUACACGGAAGAAUAAAACUAGACCCCAUCUCUCGCCAUAUACAAAAAUCAAAUCAAAAUGGUUUAAAGAUUUAAAUCUUAAAUAUAAGACCUCAAACUAUAAAACUAUGAGAAGAAAACAUUGAAGAAACACUCCAAGAAACUGGUCUGGGCAAAUAUUUCUUUAGUUAAGACCUCAAAAGUACAGACAACCCAAGCAAAAAUGAACAAAUGGGGUCACAACAAGUUAAAAAGCACCUGCAUAGCCAAUAGAGCAAUCAACAAAGUGAAGAGACUACCCACAGAAUGGGAGAAAAUAUUUGCAAACUAUCCAUCUGACAAGAGAUUAAUAGCCUGAAUGUAUAAGGAACUCAAACAACUCAACUGGAAAAAUAAAUAAAUAAUCCAAUUUAAAAAUGAGAAAAAAAUCUGUAUAAUCAUUUCUAAAAGAAGACAUGCAGAUGGACAACAGGCAUAUGAAAAAACACUCAGCGUCAUUAAUCAUCAGAGAAAUGAAAAUGAAAGCUACAAUAAGAUAUCAUCUCAUCCCAGUUAAAAUGGCUUUGUAUUAAAAAGACAGGCAAUAAUGGAUAUUGGCAAGGAUAUAGGAAAAAGGGGAGUCCUCAUAUACUGUUGGUGAAAAUGUAAAUUAGUGUAGCUACUAUGAGGAACAAUGGCAGUUCCUCAGAAAAAUGAAAAAUAGUACUAUUAUAUGAUCCAGUAAUACCACUGCUUGGUGUACAUCUAAUAGCAAGAACAUCACCAUGUGAAAAGACAUCCGCUCUCCCAUGUUUAUUGCAGCAUUAUUCACAAUAGCUAAGAUAUGGAAUCAACUUAGGUAUCCAUGAAUGGAUGAACAGAUAAAGAAAAUGUGGUAUAUACACAAGGGAAUAUUAUUCAGUCAUAAAAGAAUGAAAUUCUGUCAUUUGCAGCAACAUGGAUGAAACUGGAAGACAUUAUAUUAAGUGAAAUAAGCCAGACUCAGAAAGACAAGUAUCACAUGUUCUCACUCAUCUGUGGGAGGUAAAAAAGAGAAAAAUUGAUCUCAUGGAGGUAGAGUAGAAUGGUGGUUACCAGAGGUUGAGAUGUGUAGCGGGUUGGGGGAGAUUAAGAGGGAUGGUUAGUGGGUACAAAACUAUACUUAGAUAGAAUAAAUAAUAUCUAGUGUUUAGUAGCACAAUAAGGAGGCUAUAGUUAACAAUAAUUUAUUGUGUAUUUCAAAAUAACUUAAGUGGAAUUGUAAUGUUCCUAAUACACAGAAAUGGUAAAUGUUUGAGGUAAUAGAAAUCCCAAUUACCCUGAUUUGAUCAUUACACACAUUGUAUGCUUUUAUCAAAACAUCACAUGUACACUAUAAAUAUGUACAACUAUUAUGUAUCCAUAAUAUUUACAAAUUUAAAAAUAUUUAAAAAUUCACAAAACUGAAAUAAACAUACUUAUUGGGAAAACAUCUUCAAUAACUCAUUCAAAAAUUCAUAUUGAGAGGCUAUUACAUGCCAGGAAUUAUGCUAAUCUACUAUUCUCAUAAAAAAUAUAAUGUUCCAGUAUGAGAAACAGAUAGGGCAACCAUAAUCCUGCUAUAUGCCUGGCUUACAUGUGUGGUCUCAGUAUCCCAUAUGGCGUAGGAUUUUUUUCUUGAGUUUUCAUAUUUUAAAGAAAUAUUUUUACUAAUGUUUUCUUUUGACUGGAAUGGUUUUGAUAGAAUUUCACUUUUUACUUUCAGCACCAUCUUAAUUAGUAAUGUGUGAGAUGCAUGCAAUGAACAGAGUUUUCAGAUUAACAUGUGGUUGAAUCUCAGAAAUAAUCAGCAGUAAAUUGCUUCCCUUUCUCCCAUCCUUUUCUGAUGCAUUGAAAAGAAUAGUGUUCAUCAUACUCUCUAAUAAACCAACUUAGUAUGGCAUACCCACACAGUGGAAUAUUAUUUAACAAUAUAAACAAAGUACUGUUACAUGCUGUGAAAUGUAUGAACCUUGAAAAUAUUAUGCAAAAUAAAAUAAGCCAGUCACAAAAGGUGACAUAUUAUGUAAUUAGAUUUAUAUGAAAGGUCCAUAAUAGGAAACUAUAAGUAGAAAUAGAUCAGGGAUUUCCUAGAGCUGGGCUGGGGGAAGGGAUAGAGAGUGACUUGUAAUGAAUAUGGGUUUUUUGGGAUGAUAACAACAUUAUAAAAUUACAAUAAUGAUGUGAUGGUUGCAUAACUCUGAGUAUGCUACAAAUCAUUGAAUUAUACAUUUUAAAUGGGAUACUUUUAUGAUAUGCAAAUUAUAUCUCAAUAAUGCUGUUAUAAAAACUAAUUAUUUAAUAUGAGUGACUUGGAGGUAACCAACUUCUUGUGGAUCCUGGUGGUGGUGGUGGUGGUGGGAGAAAUAUUGGAAGCUAUUGCUUCUAGGUCAUUUGGUGAACCAACUAAUUGUACCAUGGUUGUAUAUGAGGUGUGUGAGAAAUAGAGACUGAAUAGUCCUACCAUGGAACAUAUAGAAAGUAGUUCAUUAUUUACUAUAUUUAAUUCAACAACUAUCCUUUCCAAAACGAUGUUUUUUCCUUUGAAAAAUGCAUACUUAAUGAAAAUUUAAAGAUGAUACUUCAAUUUCUCAAGAAAGUUGAUGAUGAAUGUGUAAAUUACACAAAGUAUUUGUUGAGAUUUACUAUAACAAUUGAGUCUGUAGUGAUAUCAUUGACCCCAUGGAAACAAGAUGAUGUAUAUCAUCCCCCAAAUCACUAGCACCUACAGUUAUUUAGAAAGAUUAUGCACAAGAUGAUAAUUUAACAUGUGCAGCUUCAGAUGGUGUAUUUACAUAUUUCUUUCUUUUCUUUUUUUUUUUUUUUUUUUUGAGAUGAAGUCUCGCUCUGUCACCCAGGCUGGAGUGUAGUGGGGUGACCUUGGCUUACUGCAACCUCCACCUCCUAGGUUCCAGCGAUUCUCCCACCUCAGCCUCCUGAGUACCUGGGAUUAUAGGCACCUGCCACCAUGCCCAGCUAAUUUUUGUAUUUUUAGUAGAGACUGUGUUUCACCAUGUUGGCCAGGCUGGUCUUGAACUCCUGACCUCAAGCGAUCUGCCCACCUCGGCCUCCCAAAGUGCUGGGAUUACAGGCAUGAGCCACAGUGCCUGGCCUACGUAUUUCUUUUUAAAGACUGACUUUUCAUUUAGAGUAAAUGAUUGCUCUUCUAAAGUAAUUUACUCUUUGUUGGUUUUAGAAAUAUUUUGCAUGUAUAAGGUAUAAAACAACAACUGUUUAUAUGUUACUUCCAUUAGCCGAUGAACUAGUGGUUAAAUGAUGCUUCAAAUAGAAAAUAAGUUAAUUCCACUAAUAGAUUGUGUUUUCAUGAAAGUCAAAAACAUGAAAUAACACUUUACAAAGUUCAUUUUGUUGAGUAGCUUGCAUUACUGUGAAUUAUAUUGUAAAGUAGUUUAAAGUUUAACAUUAAAGAUAAAAUUAUUAUUUUUGCUGUUAUGGUAUGAAUAAAAAAGUUUGAUU